Long non-coding RNA from Molossus molossus (Pallas's mastiff bat), 355 nucleotides. RefSeq lists it as uncharacterized. The transcript has 4 exons. The record is from RefSeq and is a predicted model, not a curated record. NCBI's taxonomy places the organism in Eukaryota, Metazoa, Chordata, Mammalia, Chiroptera, Molossidae.
GACACCAGGGUUCCCUUCUUCACAACAGCUUUUGUGCGCGGUGCCGGGACCCCGGAGCUGGCUGCCUCGAGUCCGCGGGGCCUGGGCGAGCGGUGCUUAGAGAGGCGGCACUUUGUGCGGCGUUGGCGACUCCCACUCCAAAUGCCCCUCUUCCAUGCCAACUCCCAGCGGGUGGUCGGACCUAUGGGGGACAGGGCGGCACCUUAAACAUCCUGCAGGAGAUGACAACUACAUCUGAUCUGGAAGGAGGAGUCAAGAGAUUUCAAAGGACAGAAGAGAUCUAAGGGACUGGACUGUCAACAAGUAAAUACUUUUUCCACAGUGAGAUCCCACGGGAGAAAAAGGAAGAGAUGCC